This 150-nucleotide ribosomal RNA is filed under the name uncultured bacterium. RNAcentral describes it as "partial 16S ribosomal RNA". It matches the Rfam family "Bacterial small subunit ribosomal RNA", at positions 1382 to 1531 of the family's 1533-position model. The record is from RNAcentral.
UGUACACACCGCCCGUCACACCAUGGGAGUGGGUUUCACCAGAAGUAGGUAGCCUAACCGUAAGGAGGGCGCUUACCACGGUGGGAUUCAUGACUGGGGUGAAGUCGUAACAAGGUAGCCGUAUCGGAAGGUGCGGCUGGAUCACCUCCU